This 701-nucleotide ribosomal RNA is filed under the name uncultured Chlorophyta. Its description in RNAcentral is "partial small subunit ribosomal RNA". Lineage: Eukaryota; Viridiplantae; Chlorophyta. The record is from RNAcentral.
UCUGGUUGAUCCUGCCAGGUGGCGUGAUCAAUCCCGACGCACUGAGGAUUGAGCCGAAAGCAGUCGCCUUCGUGAAGGCAUCUUUCGACGCGGGCAAACCAGUGGCAUCAAUCUGUCACGGACCCUGGACGAUCAUUGAGACGGGCGCGGCGCGCGGGCGACGCAUGACCUCAUGGCCAUCGCUUAAAAGGGAUCUUACAAAUGCCGGAGCGGACUGGGUGGACAAAGAGGUCACCGUGGAUCGGAACCUGGUCACAAGUCGUAAGCCGGAAGACAUUCCGGCGUUCAACGUAAAGAUGAUUGAACUAUUCAGCCAAGUAGGGGCGCCGGGUCGUCUUGCGCGACGUUAGCUUGCAGCGCCCGCAUCAUUACAAGCAAGCUUCCGUUGACACGGCGUACCAGGAGACCAUUGCAUGAAGACAGUCACAUUGCCAUCGGACAAACGCGUGUCGGCCCUCGGCUUGGGGACUUGGCAUUUGGGUGAGAAUCGGGCCACACGCGCCGAAGAGAUCGCAACGCUUCGCCUUGGCCUCGAUCUCGGCUCUACCCUCAUCGACACAGCAGAGAUGUAUGGCGAAGCCGGUCGGAAGAGCUUGUCGCCGAGGCGAUCGAGGGCAGACGCGACGAAAGUCUUUCUCGUCAGUAAAGUCUCUUCAAAUAACGCUUNCCGCAAGGGUUUCCGUCGNCGCUUUGCGAGCGCA